UCCAGCGAUUGAUGACCCCGGACCGUAUAGUGGCCCAGGAGGGGGACGCCCGGCCCUGUACGUCGGUUGCCUACUGUCCGAGUCUUGAUGGGGUCUUGCGUAGAUAUGCAGACGGGGGGCGAUAUAAAGUGGCGCUUGGGAGGGCUCCUACAGUUUUUGGCCGUCUCAGAGGUGACAGGGGCCCGGUCCCUGACGCUGAGAGGGCGGGGGUGUGUACUGUCCCUUUCUGUGGUGAGGAUGAGGGUGAGCAACAGCACUAUGUGGGGAGUGCUGCUGGAGGCCUGGAGGGGAGAGUUGGGGAGCACCGAACCGGUGUGGUUGAGGGUGGAUUGACCACUGCUCUGGCAUGCGGGGCCUGUGAGCGCGUUGUUCGUGUUGACUGGAAUGGAGCCCAACUCGUUGGGCCCCUCAGAGGCAGUUGCGGACUCACCACUAUGGAGGCUGUGCACUUGAUCAGAGUGGGGCGAUCCCAUGAUGUAGUCGGCA
Molecule: long non-coding RNA, 486 nt
Filed under: Androctonus crassicauda
Lineage: Eukaryota; Metazoa; Arthropoda; Arachnida; Scorpiones; Buthidae
Source: RNAcentral